Long non-coding RNA from Eriocheir sinensis (Chinese mitten crab), 558 nucleotides. RefSeq lists it as uncharacterized. The record is from RefSeq and is a predicted model, not a curated record. NCBI's taxonomy places the organism in Eukaryota, Metazoa, Arthropoda, Malacostraca, Decapoda, Varunidae. The transcript has 3 exons.
AUGUAGUGCUGGAAUGAGCUGCCGAUACAAAGGCCUGGCUGGGGAGAAAUCCUAAUCCACCUGUGACAUCAAGAUCAAGCCCGGUGUGUUGUGCACGAGUUCAGCCACAGCAGACAGCACUUACAAGAGAAGUUCUUGGUUGAGCACGAAGAGCAGUCAGUCAAGUGUUUGCCAUGAUUCGCUUAGGAGCUCCCCGCAUGGACCCGGCCGAGGAGAAGAAGCGGGCCCAGGAGGAGGAGAGGAUGGCGAGGGUGAUGCUCUACUCCAACAUAGCCACCUUUCUCGCCACGGUGGGACUCAUCCGGGCAGCACCGUACGUUGUCGAACGCUUCAUCUGAACGUGGAACCUCAAAAUGAGAUGGAAUUUCUUCCUGAAGAAAUGGAGACAUUAUUACUCAGAAGGAAGAACUUUAUCUGGCCCUCAAAGGGUUACCUUUGUAAACAUAAUAAUGAAAAGCUAUUGUAUUCAUUGCAAAAAUGACAUUGCAAGUUAACAUCUGAAACUGCAUGAAACUGUGUUCCAUUGUGUAGUAUUUGAGAAUAAAUGUGUUGAUUUUA